This 428-nucleotide ribosomal RNA is filed under the name uncultured archaeon. RNAcentral describes it as "bacterial SSU rRNA". It matches the Rfam family "Archaeal small subunit ribosomal RNA", at positions 474 to 903 of the family's 1478-position model. The record is from RNAcentral.
UACCUGCAGCUCAAGUGGUGGCCGCUAUUAUUGGGCCUAAAACGUCCGUAGCCGGCUUAUUAAAUGCCUGGGUAAAUCGUGUAGCUCAACUAUACGAAUUCCGGGUAGACUGGUAAGCUCGAGACCGGGAGAAGUUAGAGGUACUCCUGGGGUAGAGGUGAAAUUCUGUAAUCCUAGGGGGACCACCAGUGGCGAAGGCGUCUGACUAGAACGGGUCUGACGGUGAGGGACGAAGCCCUGGGGCGCAAACCGGAUUAGAUACUCGGGUAGUCCAGGUGUAAACGCUGCUUGCCUGAUGUUGGUUGGGCUCCGAGCCCAAUCAGUGUCGGAGAGAAGUUGUUAAGCAAGCUGCCUGGGAAGUACGGUCGCGAGACUGAAACUUAAAGGAAUUGGCGGGGGAGCACAGCAACGGGUGGAGCGUGCGGUUU